RNAcentral lists this ribosomal RNA (427 nucleotides) under uncultured Bacillus sp. RNAcentral describes it as "bacterial SSU rRNA". It matches the Rfam family "Bacterial small subunit ribosomal RNA", at positions 355 to 774 of the family's 1533-position model. The record is from RNAcentral. Lineage: Bacteria; Bacillati; Bacillota; Bacilli; Caryophanales; Bacillaceae.
UAGGGAAUCUUCCGCAAUGGACGAAAGUCUGACGGAGCAACGCCGCGUGAACGAUGAAGGCCUUCGGGUCGUAAAGUUCUGUUGUUAGGGAAGAACAAGUACCAGAGUAACUGCUGGUACCUUGACGGUACCUAACCAGAAAGCCACGGCUAACUACGUGCCAGCAGCCGCGGUAAUACGUAGGUGGCAAGCGUUGUCCGGAAUUAUUGGGCGUAAAGCGCGCGCAGGUGGUUUCUUAAGUCUGAUGUGAAAGCCCACGGCUCAACCGUGGAGGGUCAUUGGAAACUGGGGAACUUGAGUGCAGAAGAGGAAAGUGGAAUUCCAAGUGUAGCGGUGAAAUGCGUAGAGAUUUGGAGGAACACCAGUGGCGAAGGCGACUUUCUGGUCUGUAACUGACACUGAGGCGCGAAAGCGUGGGGAGCGAACA